Molecule: unclassified non-coding RNA, 90 nt
Filed under: Pseudomonas brassicacearum
Lineage: Bacteria; Pseudomonadati; Pseudomonadota; Gammaproteobacteria; Pseudomonadales; Pseudomonadaceae
Source: RNAcentral
UGUGGGAGCGAGCUUGCUCGCGAUGGCUGCGGCACAUUCAAGUAUUGAUGUGCCUGACAGACCGCUAUCGCGAGCAAGCUCGCUCCCACA